Molecule: ribosomal RNA, 2214 nt
Filed under: Triticum aestivum (bread wheat)
Lineage: Eukaryota; Viridiplantae; Streptophyta; Magnoliopsida; Poales; Poaceae
Description: partial small subunit ribosomal RNA
Source: RNAcentral
UUUUUUAGGGGAGCAGACUAGGGGUUGGAGGGGGUAGGUAGCGGCGACGACGGAUGGGGCGGAGGAUGGCCACGCGGUGGUGAGGGCGGAGGAAGGCCGCGUGGCGGUGGGGCGACGGAGGAUGGCCGCGCGGCGGCCUGGGAGGAAGAAGGGACCUCGCGGCGGUGGGGCGACGGGGGCGGUAGAGGGUGGUACCCCAUUGGGAUCUACCGCGGCCGGGCGGCGGCGGCUACAGCGGAGGAAGAGGGAACCGGGAGUCGGUGGUUUGUCGGCGACGUAGUGCGGCUAAUCCAGGAUGGGGUCCUGUCGGUGCCCACAGCAGUAGAGGUCUUCGGACGGGGGUUUAGCAACGGUGGACGUGGAGGCUAAGUCGGUUGCAGCCAGUAGAGGGAGAAGCAGGAGGUACCCACAACGAGACGGAGCCGGAUAUUAAUUGCAGGUACGGGGUUGCGGAAGAGCGGCAAGGAGGGAACUCGCGCGGGGCGCCGAUUGGGAUCCCUGACUCAGUCCGAACGGCCGCGCCGGCGCAGUACACUACAACCGUGGGGUGAGGUGGACGAGACGAUGCGGGGCCAGAGGUUGUCGGUAAGACUCCUUGGGUAGAGCGGCGGUGGUAGCAGACGAUAGGAGGUCGUUCACACGACGCCAUGCGGUUACAGGAGGGUAGCCGUUCGAGGCGGGGACGGCCGUAGCAGGUGGGUGUGGUACAGGAGGAGAAACGGUUCGUCGCAAUUCGCCACUAAUAGUCUUCAGGUUCUGGUGUGACAUCCGUCCUUUUUCCUUACAAGAACCAUUCGAUAUCAUAAGGUAAGAAUUAAAUGAGUGAAGUUACGUAUCAAAACAAUCAAGAAGGUAAUCAAAGAUAACUUCAUACGAGUUACCCUAUCCCAAAUCUUUCAAUAUACGUAUUACCCUCUAAUGAACUAAACGAUUAGGAAAAGACCAAUCGCUAAGGAGUGUUUGAGUUCGCUAUUAUACGUGUACAAAGAAGCACAGCAUGAAACUAGAUACGCACGACUAACUCUCUAAGAACCAGAAGUUAAAAAUACAUGUUGAGUUCACUGGUUUAACAUAAGCUAAGAAAAGGGAGUGUUUGACGUCAGAACCACGGAAGGACAACUUUUUUUUCUUUACCCCCGUACCCCGUGUAAUACGUCAGUCUUGGAUCGACAAUGAUAUGUUGGUACUUGUAUUAAGACCCUCCAUCGUGCACCAGUAAGAAUCAUUGUCAUACAACCUUAACAUCCUAUAUCGAGAGUAAAACAAACCACAACCUUAUCAUCCAACGAGCGCCCACUGAAGAGUCCACAGUGCCGCGAACGUAACAUCUAAUCAUCUCCCUUAUAACUCUGCUGCUCCUCUCCGCUGAAUUGACGUCAGGCGUGUUGUGGUACUUGGUCCCAUUUCUCCAAUUAGAGAAGGUUAUGUGUUAACAACUCCACAAGUUUUUAGAAUCACUCUCUCCUGUAACUGCCACGCUCUUACCUUGUAUUGUUCAAAACACACACACACACACACGUAAUGGCUUUGCAACGUGCUGUACAAGAACUUCAGGCGGGAGAGUAACUAACCUUGCCCCACUUUCAACACCUUAAAAACGACACUGGUGGACCUGAUUCUACUGUCCCGACUGUUUCUACUUCGGUUCAACUUCUAAGUCUCAACGAUCCGUCCGUGUCAAUUGUCCCUAUUCUUUGAUAUCUUCUAAAUAGUUUAGUCUGUACCCGAACCAAUACGUUACUAAGUAACCCUAGACUCUUCCAAUAUCCCCACCGGGUCUAUAGUACCUCUCCGCGGCACGAGCCAGGUCAUCCUCGAGGCCCAGUUGUGACACCGACGCACCACCCGUACUUGGUACCGUUGACGGAAGGCCGAAAUAAGACAACCGAGCAUGUAAACGGCGACCGAUAAGAAUGUCUUAGUACUUAAUCUGAAAUCCUCUUAACCGUACAGUAGUGUACUUAAAAAAAUUUGAUACUCCACGAUGUCCAUUUGUACCACUUAAGUGUGAAACUUUGACGGACCACUAAAAAAUUUAGAGGUCCGUUAGUCUUGUAUACGUAAAAGAGACAAAGAGCGAAGUACAAAACAGUACCUGAUGUACUCAAAGUACAUAUGGUCUUAAAAAAGUUUGGACACUAAUUGUUCAAGAAAAGGUGAAGAUUUAAUGUUUAUAGAAUAACUACGAUGGUAUAACAUCUCACAUGAACUACC